Manacus vitellinus (golden-collared manakin) is the source of this 473-nucleotide long non-coding RNA. RefSeq lists it as uncharacterized. The transcript has 3 exons. The record is from RefSeq and is a predicted model, not a curated record. NCBI's taxonomy places the organism in Eukaryota, Metazoa, Chordata, Aves, Passeriformes, Pipridae.
GAGAAUGCCCGACAUAAUUUGAGGAGGGAUGUGAUCUGGCCGGGGAUGUCUGCACCGAAGAGGCUCCUGGCUGAGCGAGGGCAUUGGACGCCCGCAGAGCGAAGCAGGUAAAUGCAAAACUUACAGCUAUCCUCCCUCAGACACCUCACAGACUGUACUGGUGCUUGAAAAAAAGAAAUCAUACACACGGAACUUCAACCUGAAACUUCAUAACAAAAAAAGUCCACUAAGGUAAGGAAAGCAUUUUGUUGUGCAAAAAGUCCCUCCCCCCUCCUCUGUUCACCUUCAUCUACUGAGGGUCUCACACACACACAAAGUUUCCUUCCAACGGGCGAGUUGGUAAGAAAGAGUCCUCCCUAUGUACAGUGAGUUAGAGAGAAGCUGGAUACAGUGCUGGCAAGAGGCAUUGGGUGAGUGCCUCUAUCUGGAAGUGUCCAUGUUCUCCUCCUUAAAGUUACUGCAGUGCUCUAUAA